GAUGAAGAACGCAGCGAAAUGCGAUAAGUAAUGUGAAUUGCAGAAUUCAGUGAAUCAUCGAGUCUUUGAACGCACAUUGCGCCCCAUGGUAUUCCGGGGGGCAUGCCUGUCCGAGCGUCAUUGCUGCCCUCAAGCACGGCUUGUGUGUUGGGCCUCCGUCCUCCUCCCGGGGGACGGGCCCGAAAGGCAGCGGCGGCACCGCGUCCGGUCCUCGAGCGUAUGGGGCUUCGUCACCCGCUCUUGUAGGCCCGGCCGGCGCUUGCCGACACAUCAAUCUUUUUUCCAGGUUGACCUCGGAUCAGGUAGGGAUACCCGCUGAACUUAAGCAUAUCAAUAAGCGGAGGA
RNAcentral lists this unclassified non-coding RNA (345 nucleotides) under soil metagenome. Its description in RNAcentral is "partial contains 5.8S ribosomal RNA, internal transcribed spacer 2, and large subunit ribosomal RNA". The stretch from base 1 to 120 matches the Rfam family "5.8S ribosomal RNA", at positions 35 to 154 of the family's 154-position model. The record is from RNAcentral.